AUUCCGUCAGUAGCGGCGAGCGAACGCGGAGAAGCCCAAACCAAGGAGCUUGCUCUUUGGGGUUGUGGGACGUCUCACAUGGAGUUACAAAGGAGUCAGUUAAACGAAGAGGUCUGGAAAGGCCCGCCAAAGAAGGUAAAAGCCCUGUAAUUGAAAGUUGACUCUCUCCGAGACGGAUCCCGAGUAGUGCGGGGCACGUGAAACCCCGUAUGAAUCCGGCAGGACCAUCUGCCAAGGCUAAAUACUUCCUAGCGACCGA
Molecule: ribosomal RNA, 259 nt
Filed under: Paenibacillus sp. CFBP 13594
Lineage: Bacteria; Bacillati; Bacillota; Bacilli; Caryophanales; Paenibacillaceae
Description: partial 23S ribosomal RNA
Rfam family: Bacterial large subunit ribosomal RNA
Source: RNAcentral